Molecule: long non-coding RNA, 4822 nt
Organism: Peromyscus eremicus (cactus mouse)
Lineage: Eukaryota; Metazoa; Chordata; Mammalia; Rodentia; Cricetidae
Exons: 3
Source: RefSeq, a predicted model, not a curated record
CUGGCUGUGCCACCUUUCCUAAGGGCAUGUGCAUUGUCACAGGUGGCUCCAGAUCAAGGAAUUUGGCUCUUGUGUAGCUCUAGGUGAAGCACCACAGCAGUGACACAGUACAUACUAUUCCCAUGACUAUGACACAUUUGAUUUUCUGUAAAUGCCUUUAUAUAUCUGUUUGGCCUCUCACUAGCCAUUCAUCUUUCCUCAAACUGUAGUGUAUAGAUGGGCCAUUACUCUUUCUGGGAGUGUUUGCUCUUGUGUCUGAGGGCUCCUUAGCAUCUGGUCUGACAUGUCACUAGUUGAUCACAAAUUGCUGACAUCAUGAUGCAUUUUGCUGAUGAUUCAGGGUAAUUUCCUCAUUAACAAUGAGACUUAUCUUUGUUCUGACUGGAUACCCACAAUCUUCACAAACCCACAUACUGUUAUAAGUCAUGUGAAUAAUCCAAAAUGUGCUUUUUCACAUCAGGGGACGAUCUUUCCUCCCAACCAUCCUGACCUAAUUCCCUAGCAACCUUUAUUUCCCAUGUUAUUGAUUAGAGAUGUCAAGAAAGGAUGAACCAUUUCCUUGGAUGUGUUGGGAAUAGAAUGUUCAACUUCCCAUACAUGAAGUAGUGAAAAUGUUCUAAAGAAGCAAAGAGAGAUCCCUGGCUUUGUAAGGAGAGGGUGCUGAAGGUCUGUCUAUAUUUCUGGGAAGGAUCCCAAGAAGGGCAACAUGGCAAAAGAGCUAGUUAGUAGGUAGGUGAGGGAUGCUGAAGGUGAUACUAAUAAUCCCUUCUCUGGAAAUUCUAUUAUAUCCUAGACAACCUUGGUAGUAUCUAUGAUAUCACUAGUGUCGUGGCAACACCACAUGCCUGUGGGGUAUUCGUUCAGUGCCCAUAGACAUGUUGGUAAGACUGAGCUGGCUGCUUGGGAGACAAAAUGGAGAACAUAGAGAGACCAGAGAGAGGCAUAAGGAAGCUAGCCUUUGGCCUCAGUGUAAAACAUGGAGAAAUAAAUGGUUCUGGUGAAGGCACAGUGAGUCCUGAGCUGGGGAUUGGGAGCUUCCUGGAGGAGGUGAACUUGAGUUGGGCUUUCCAGUAUGGGCCUCAGCAUCUGGGAGCUUCUGGGAAGCAAUGGGCCUAUCCUGCUUCUGUAGGUUUCUAAAGAGCAGACCCAUUGUUAAGAAUUUCUGAUGGUUAGUUUAGGAGAGCCAUGUAUUAUUCAAUCUCUAGCUGCUUUUCUGGGAACUCCUUCAUUUUAUUCUGAUUGGCAAAGAGGGGCAGGAGGAACACAAGGACUACUGAGCUGUCCCUCUCUGGGUAGGGUGUUGCUGCACUUCAUCCAGUGGAUUCCUUCAGUUUCCAUGGAAAUCUGAUGCCAAUAGGAAGGGAGGGAAACUCGCCUGGCCAUGCACCAAAGUCUCAGACAUUCAGAUGUUUUGGUCUUAGGCACAUGCGAUCAGGACUUGGUGCGGCUAAGCUCUAGGGACAACAGGACUUAGCUGCAUCAUAUUAGAUAUGAGCUGACACUGUCCUCCAAAUCUACAUGACUGGGAUACAUUAUGCCUUCCAGGGCAUUAGGGAGUGAGGCACAAGGCUAGCCAUGAUGGUUGAGGACAGAGACAGAGCUCGGGGGCCCCAGUCUGAGGAUAGCUGCCCUCCUGUUUGGAAGCUUUACUGGGUCCCUAGCAUUUCCUCAGGCUUCUUCUUGGGACUCUGCAUGGACUCUCCUGGUCCUAUGUCAUUCAGUAUACAAGUUCACUUUUCUUUAUCUACCAGCAGGGACUACUGAGGAGGCACCAUCCCAACUCUCCACCUUCACUGAGCAGGAGCAGCAGAUGAAAAAAAAAAAAAAUAAAGAAACUCACCAUUCAGUUACAUAUUAUGACAUGCGAGAGAAAUGAGCUUCGUAGAAUCCUGGCCAAUUAUACCAACAAGGAUUUGAACAACAGGUAGUCACUAUGCCCAGUUCGCUGCUGGCCGUCUUGACAUCAUAGUAUCAAGCCCAGGUUUCCAGAGGAACAGGAGACUGAACAUCCAGGGUGUCCUGGUGCCUAAACUAAUUUUCCUGAGUGGAGUCAAGAUCUAGAACUUGAAGCCUGGUUAGGACUGAGCUGGGGACACAGGCUGUUCUGCUUCCUCCAAAUGAACACCAGAGUCUGUGGCCUGAAUCACGGUCUGGGGAUAGGGGCAGUAGUGUGUGAGCUCUCAACAUGCAUUUCAAGAUGCCUUGACAGGUGUUGGCUUGUAGGAGAUGCUAGGUGCUGUGAGUGUGUGGUGAGUCUUUGUGCUUGACCAGCAGAUGAUUGUGUGCUGAAAGCUCCUGGCAGUAGCUGGAGGGACCUGGUCCAUUCAUCCAUCUCAGUGUGUGGCUGGAAGGCCUGGAGUUCAUCACUGCUCCUCUCUGGUCUUGUUCCUUAUACUCUGAGACAAUGUCAUUCCUUGCAUUUCUUGGGUAUCUUGAUUGCAUGGUGUAUGUGUGUGUGUGUGGGGGGGGGUUGUCUGUGUGCUCCUGAGAGUCUGUGCUCUGAAGCAUGGCCUGAGGAUUUUACACAGUUUCCAGGAGAUGGCACUGCUGAGGCCAGGGAAGCCCACUUUGAGCAGCAUGCCGCUUGGGCACUGUGCUCAUCUUGGUGGAAUAUUGGAAUUCCCUGUGGAGUUUAUAAAGCCAUCCUGAAGUUGGGACUCCUCCCUGGAAAUACUCAUUGUUUGUUCCGGUCCUCUGUUUAGCAAUAGGCACACAAGAAUGAGAAUCCCUGUUGUGAAGACAGGACAAGUGUCAUCAUAGGUUUCUGGUGGGUCUAGACACCUGGCACAGACUCCUGGGAAAAUCUUAGAGAGCUAAUCUAUAGCUCUAGGCCCACAGAGGGAGCUCAUGCAGCCCUGGCUCCUUCCCUUUGGACCUGCUGCAUCUUCUGGCCUGGGGACAGGAUGGGAAAUUUAAUAAGCACCAGAAGCUCCCAGUGUACAACUGCCAGGCUGUGGCAUCCACUGGGCUAGGGUAGUCCAUGACACAGCCUCAUUAAUGUGAUCCUUGUGGCCUGUGUUCAUGAGGUUCUUUUCUCCUGGGGCCAUGCCCUACCACAGGCUGAAUUUUGAGCUUUAGAUGCUCAAAAUGGAGCAUAAUCAGAUGAUAUCUGAGCUGCAGAAAUUGCCCAUGGAGAUCAGCGAUGUCUUGGACAAUUGCAAGGGGCUGAUUGAGGAGACUGAAUCCAUCAGUUACCUCCAUGACCAGGUCCUCCGAGAUUGGACUCAGCUGAAGAAGAAUGUAUAUGUGUUGAGACUCAAGAACAGACUGCUAUGGAAGGAACAGAUUGAACUGCAAGAUUCCUGUGAGGAUCUGAAGAGUCUCUUGAAGGAGGCCCAUGAGAUGAUCUGUGAGCCUUCUGCUGAUCAGCAACUGGUAGCCCGAGGCAUUGGGGACAGGCUGAAUACCUGUCCAACCAUAAAAAUAGAGACACCCAUAUAACCAUCCAUCCAGACUCCCACUUACAUACCAUCCAAGUGUUGUUUUCUGUGAUCAUUCCCAAGUCUUUCUGGAGAGUUAGCAUCUUGCAAAAAACUGAAUAAUUGACAAGCAAACCCUCCUGCUCUGCUAGAAGCUGCAGUACAUUGAUAGAGAUGGGUCAGUCACAUACCACACACCUACAUGUCAUUAUGAUCAGAGGGCUGCUAUGUAGGGAGUUACUUAGGGAACAGCACAAAGCUUUUAUUGAUAAUGUCAGUGGCCUGUGGCUCAUUUGCUUUGCAGGGGUCAUGUGAGAUCACAGGGAGGAAGCAGCCUUCAAGGACUAGAGCCCAGUGCCAGUGCCAAGAGCUGGAAAGCCUGGAUGAAGGACUGAAGGACCUGCUGAAGCAGAAGGAGCUGGUCACCCAGCAAGGGGACUUGGCAGAAAAGCUGCAACAUCACUUCAGUGUCUCUGAGAUGAGGUGGGAGCCCAAGCUGGGAGAGCAGUUAGAACCAUGUGGGUCACCUCUCCCUGGAUCCCUGUCCUUUUUGGUGUCUCUCCAUCUGGACGGCUCUCAGUCACAGCCAGAGAAAGAACACCUCAGGGUAUUGUGCUGGUCCAGUCAACCAGAACUUCUCCAGGAAACACUACGUUCGAUCCUUAGUGUUUCUGGGGAGUGUGUACCCCUUAUUCCCUCCUGAGCUCUCUGGCAUCUUCUCAGUACCUUGUCCCCUGUGUUUCCCCACAAAUCUCCCUAUGGUAGCCCUCAACUUAGCAGGAGGAGGGUUAGUUGUGGAGGACACUGUGUGCUCCUACCAUUUCAUUUUCCUUCCAGAACAUCACCUUUAGAGAGAAGCUCCUACCUUUGGGUAGAUGUGCAUGCAGCACACUCCUGCCGAUUACAGGCUCUCUCCAGUGUGCAUCUGUUUCCUGUGAAAAGAUUUUUCUGGGUAUAAGAAGAUUUAGUGGUUGAGGAGUUGAAACCAGGCAGGUUUCUGUUCCUUAACAAUAACCAGAUCCUUCACUGCAGUGUUGUGUAGGCUCCCCUGGAGGGACUACAUUCAGUUUCCCAGGUUGCUCACAUUCCCUGGUAUCUAAUCAAGGCCACGCAUAUCUGUCCUGAACUGUAACUCAGACCUUGCUACACUGUUGUUUUCCCCAAAAUAAUGUAUCUAGACAACUGGAGAAAUGUGCCGAUUUUCUUGCCCAGCACAGUGUAGUUCUCAAUUCAUCUUCUAGUAGAUUUUAAAAGCUGAGAAUAAAAUCCAGGCUCAGUUGCACUCUGACCCUUCCCCCUUGGGGAAUGCAGGGAAUGACCUGAGUUGAAAGGUCACACUGGACUGUCCAGCUGACUAAAGCUGGUUCAGGCUCAAUAGCUGACAUGGCAGGUCCCCACCAGGC